AAGUCGUAACAAGGUUUCCGUAGGUGAACCUGCGGAAGGAUCAUUACCAAUUUUAUAUACUAGUGUGUAUGCCGCUGUCAAAGGUGGUACUACACUACUACUAUUAUGUAAACGUUGAACUAGAUCAAUUGGUGUGGAUUGCUUGGGAAUGGACGAAGCGACAAGCCUCUUCCGGACAGGCAAACCCCACACUGAUACCCUUUUCAAUAUAAUUUACUAGUACAUACUACAAACAAACAAACAAACAAAAGCUAUAAUAGGACUUAUAAACAGGCUGAGUGGGUAAAAUCCUCGGCUUAACCAAUAUAACUAUUACAACUUUCAGCAAUGGAUCUCUAGGCUCUC
RNAcentral lists this unclassified non-coding RNA (345 nucleotides) under Ramicandelaber taiwanensis. Its description in RNAcentral is "partial internal transcribed spacer region". The stretch from base 1 to 46 matches the Rfam family "Eukaryotic small subunit ribosomal RNA", at positions 1786 to 1831 of the family's 1831-position model. The record is from RNAcentral. Lineage: Eukaryota; Fungi; Kickxellomycota; Ramicandelaberales; Ramicandelaberaceae.